RNAcentral lists this unclassified non-coding RNA (329 nucleotides) under soil metagenome. RNAcentral describes it as "partial contains 5.8S ribosomal RNA, internal transcribed spacer 2, and large subunit ribosomal RNA". The stretch from base 1 to 120 matches the Rfam family "5.8S ribosomal RNA", at positions 35 to 154 of the family's 154-position model. The record is from RNAcentral.
GAUGAAGAACGUAGCGAAAUGCGAUAAGUAAUGUGAAUUGCAGAAUUCAGUGAAUCAUCGAAUCUUUGAACGCACAUUGCGCCCCUUGGUAUUCCGAGGGGCAUGCCUGUUCGAGCGUCAUUAUAACCCCUCAAGCUCAGCUUGGUGUUGGGGCCUGCUGCACUGGCAGCCCUUAAAAUCAGUGGCGGCGCCAUCUGGCUCUAAGCGUAGUAAUUCUUCUCGCUAUGGAGUUCUGGUGGAUGCUUGCCAUCAACCCCCAAUUUUUCUAUGGUUGACCUCGGAUCAGGUAGGGAUACCCGCUGAACUUAAGCAUAUCAAUAAGCGGAGGA